CAGGCUAACACAUGCAAGUCGAGCGGUAACAGAAAGUAGCUUGCUACUUUGCUGACGAGCGGCGGACGGGUGAGUAAUGCUUGGGCAACAUGCCUUGAGGUGGGGGACAACAGUUGGAAACGACUGCUAAUACCGCAUAAUGUCUACGGACCAAAGGGGGCUUCGGCUCUCGCCUUUAGAUUGGCCCAAGUGGRAUUAGCUAGUUGGUGAGGUAAUGGCUCACCAAGGCGACGAUCCCUAGCUGGUUUGAGAGGAUGAUCAGCCACACUGGGACUGAGACACGGCCCAGAACUCCUACGGGAGGCAGCAGUGGGGAAUAUUGCACAAUGGGCGCAAGCCUGNAUGCAGCCAUGCCGCGUGUGUGAAGAAGGCCUUCGGGUUGUAAAGCACUUUCAGUCAGGAGGAAAGGUUAGUAGUUAAUACCUGCUAGCUGUGACGUUACUGACAGAAGAAGCACCGGCUAACUCCGUGCCAGCAGCCGCGGUAAUACGGAGGGUGCGAGCGUUAAUCGGAAUUACUGGGCGUAAAGCGUACGCAGGCGGUUUGUUAAGCGAGAUGUGAAAGCCCCGGGCUCAACCUGGGAACUGCAUUUCGAACUGGCAAACUAGAGUGUGAUAGAGGGUGGUAGAAUUUCAGGUGUAGCGGUGAAAUGCGUAGAGAUCUGAAGGAAUACCGAUGGCGAAGGCAGCCACCUGGGUCAACACUGACGCUCAUGUACGAAAGCGUGGGGAGCAAACGGGAUUAGAUACCCCGGUAGUCCACGCCGUAAACGAUGUCUACUAGAAGCUCGGAGCCUCGGUUCUGUUUUUCAAAGCUAACGCAUUAAGUAGACCGCCUGGGGAGUACGGCCGCAAGGUUAAAACUCAAAUGAAUUGACGGGGGCCCGCACAAGCGGUGGAGCAUGUGGUUUAAUUCGAUGCAACGCGAAGAACCUUACCUACACUUGACAUACAGAGAACU
This 960-nucleotide ribosomal RNA is filed under the name Pseudoalteromonas sp. H12. Its description in RNAcentral is "bacterial SSU rRNA". It matches the Rfam family "Bacterial small subunit ribosomal RNA", at positions 43 to 997 of the family's 1533-position model. Lineage: Bacteria; Pseudomonadati; Pseudomonadota; Gammaproteobacteria; Alteromonadales; Pseudoalteromonadaceae. The record is from RNAcentral.